UAGAUAGAUAGAUAGAUAGAUAGAUAGGCCUGUACGUGAAGGCUCAUAUAGCCUGUAUCCUUACACUGGUUAGUGAUGAUUCUCGCCCGAGCGCACUGCUGUUAAUAUGACAGGAACGAGCUCAUCCCAGAGAUCUCAGGUUAGACGUUUGAGCCAAAGAUCAGUGAAGAAAUCAAGCACACACAUCCACGAUAAGCGACACUGAACCAGAACGACUCACAGAGCACAGAGGGAGCGGGACAGGUCAGGAGGUUCGGGGGCGGGGUCUCGUCAUUGUUUCCCGCAGAUAAAUGAUUGCAUUCCUAAUUUAGAAAUCAUCGCUCAGAGCAUCAAACUCACUCCAAGACACCGACUCAAUGGAGAGGAUUUUAUAGCCUGUGCUUAAGAUUAAAUUGGGUCCAGAGAGAAGAGCGCGUUUUCUGCUGGACGCAGCGGCUGCGCUGAGCAGCAUCAGGACCUCUCGAGCCGUGCCUGCAGGAGCUGUGCUCGCUCCAUGUGCUCUGACACACACCUCCCUCUGUGACAGCAUCGCUUUCAUCGCCCUCAAGUGCUCGGACAGACGAGAUACCGCCUGUGUGCUGCAGAUGGACCCAUCAGCGUCCAGCCAAUGUCUGCAGAUGAUUCAGUCAGCCAGGAAUGCAGAGGAGCAAAAUCUAGAGGCUUAUAUGAGGAACCUGCAUCUAUUUUUCAGAGCCUUUAAGGAUGUUCCUGAAAACACAGAGCUUUUAGUUUGGUAUGGAAGAGAUCUAACCAAACUGCUUGGCCUCAGCACAGAGCAAAAUAACACUAAAGGUUUGAUUUGCUCUGAAUGCAGACAAGAGUUUUCUCU
Cyprinus carpio (common carp) is the source of this 829-nucleotide RNA transcript. It is a transcript of the gene named zinc finger protein 488-like, with no coding region annotated. Lineage: Eukaryota; Metazoa; Chordata; Actinopteri; Cypriniformes; Cyprinidae. The record is from RefSeq and is a predicted model, not a curated record.